CUUAGAGUUUGAUCCUGGCUCAGGAUGAACGCUAGCUACAGGCUUAACACAUGCAAGUCGAGGGGAAACGACAUCGAAAGCUUGCUUUUGAUGGGCGUCGACCGGCGCACGGGUGAGUAACGCGUAUCCAACCUGCCCACCACUUGGGGAUAACCUUGCGAAAGUAAGACUAAUACCCAAUGACGUCUCUAGAAGACAUCUGAAGGAGAUUAAAGAUUUAUCGGUGAUGGAUGGGGAUGCGUCUGAUUAGCUUGUUGGCGGGGUAACGGCCCACCAAGGCGACGAUCAGUAGGGGUUCUGAGAGGAAGGUCCCCCACAUUGGAACUGAGACACGGUCCAAACUCCUACGGGAGGCAGCAGUGAGGAAUAUUGGUCAAUGGACGAGAGUCUGAACCAGCCAAGUAGCGUGCAGGAUGACGGCCCUAUGGGUUGUAAACUGCUUUUAUAAGGGAAUAAAGUGAGUCUCGUGAGACUUUUUGCAUGUACCUUAUGAAUAAGGACCGGCUAAUUCCGUGCCAGCAGCCGCGGUAAUACGGAAGGUCCGGGCGUUAUCCGGAUUUAUUGGGUUUAAAGGGAGCGUAGGCCGGAGAUUAAGCGUGUUGUGAAAUGUAGACGCUCAACGUCUGCACUGCAGCGCGAACUGGUUUCCUUGAGUACGCACAAAGUGGGCGGAAUUCGUGGUGUAGCGGUGAAAUGCUUAGAUAUCACGAAGAACUCCGAUUGCGAAGGCAGCUCACUGGAGCGCAACUGACGCUGAAGCUCGAAAGUGCGGGUAUCGAACAGGAUUAGAUACCCUGGUAGUCCGCACGGUAAACGAUGGAUGCCCGCUGUUGGUCUGAAUAGGUCAGCGGCCAAGCGAAAGCAUUAAGCAUCCCACCUGGGGAGUACGCCGGCAACGGUGAAACUCAAAGGAAUUGACGG
Molecule: ribosomal RNA, 921 nt
Filed under: uncultured bacterium
Lineage: Bacteria
Description: bacterial SSU rRNA
Rfam family: Bacterial small subunit ribosomal RNA
Source: RNAcentral